Hordeum vulgare subsp. vulgare (domesticated barley) is the source of this 1857-nucleotide RNA transcript. RefSeq lists it as uncharacterized. The record is from RefSeq and is a predicted model, not a curated record. NCBI's taxonomy places the organism in Eukaryota, Viridiplantae, Streptophyta, Magnoliopsida, Poales, Poaceae. The transcript is spliced from 9 exons.
AUGCAGAACCCACCCCCACGCACCUCCUCGCCCACCUCGCCCCGCUCGCCCGCCUCGCCCCGCCGCCUGCGCCGCCCCCUCGCCCCGCGUGCCCACGCCGCCCCCUCGCCGCGCCCGCCCGCGCCGCCCAGGCCGCCCCCUCGCCCCGCCAACGCCGAUCCAGCGGAAGCUGGCAGUGCUGGCCUACCCGAGUGGCAGUCGCACCUCUUCGCCGGCGUCGAGCGCUACCGCCUCCUCGAGUGGCUCUUCUUCUGUGCUGCUGCCGCUGUGGUCCGGAGGCUAUUGGGCGACAGAUCGCCCUUCGCGCAGCAUAACUGGUAGGGGGACAUCCUCGACCGCAACGAGGAGAACAGCAGGAUCCAACACUUGGCGGAGAUCGCGAAUUUCCUCGGUAUCACGCCUUCAGUCGACACUGAGGCGAUUCAGGGCAGGGGCACCUACGACGAGCGGGUGGAGCUCCUCCGUCUAAUUGUUGACUUGGUGGAAGCUAGCUGCUAUGCCGACAAUCCAGAGUGGAGUGUUGAUGAGCAGUUGGCAAAGGAUGUACAACUUGUAGAUUCCAUUGUUGAGAAACAGGCGCCGCCCGCUCGCCCUCACCCCGUGCGCCCCGCCCAUGCCGUCCGCUCGCCUCGCUCGCCCCUACACCUCUCGCGGCCGGUGGGCGCCUCCUCCUGCCCGAGCUGCAGCAGCCCGCGGCUCGUCCGCCCCCACCUCCGGACAGCCUCCACCGGUGUCUCCUCCUCGCCCAGCCGCAGCGGACCGCCGCACCUUCGCCCUCCUCCUCCGAAGGACCAUCAUCGACGCACGAGCACAAGGUGAUACAGGAACAGGUGUGUUGAUUAUACCAGACAGAAGGAAAUCGAUAAAUGAGUAAGGCUGAGAACAUGUUCUCGCUUCUUAGUCUGGAUGACGAAGAUGAUGGAGGGAAUGAUAGCCAAGUGACCCAAACAUAUUCUACCAGCGUAGAAGAAACGGAUGCGAGCAAACCUGACGUGCGUUGCACGUGCUCAAUUACUCUCAGGUAAACAAGGGCAAUCUAGAGGGAGGCAGUUACUCUACUGAAGAAGACUCAAAACGUGUUGCUGGGAAUAAAGACAAAAAUCUACAAACGCAGCUGGAGAUCUCGACAGCAUCAGAGAAGCUCGUUGAGUGUCAAGAGACAAUCCUAAGCCUGGGAAAGAAACUAAAAGCACUUGCAUCGCCAAAGGAUGCCACCUCGGUCCGUCCAGAGCGAAAACCUCGGUCUCAUUCACUGAAUGAGAUGCUAGACGUCGAUGACGGGGGAUUUGAUGACCUCAGCUCCCCGAAGACCAAGGAGAUUAUAUGCUCAGAAAUAAGGCCACCACAUGAAAGAAGAUUUUCUUCCGACGAGGGAGGUGACAAUUCAGUAUCGUAUUAUUCUCACCAACACCAGUGGUUCCACCCGCCAAACCUUACGAUGUGAGCGGAAGCUGCAAGAAAAAGAAGCUGCUGCCAAGGCCGUAUCACUGGCCGUUGUCCCAAGCAAGCAGAAGGGGAACCCCAACUUGCUCAAGAGGAUCCUGACAGGAAGGAGAAGGGAUGCCAUAAUAAAACCAAAGGUGGUCCUGAGUGCUUAGCUAACAGAGACAAGGGUAACUCUAUCCAUGAUAAAUUCCAUUUCCAUGUGUAAAUUAAGCGUGUAUCGGUUGCUUUGGUGAGGUGUGUUCUUGUCAGGUCUAGGAAGAACGAUGGAGUGUAGAUGACGUAUAUGUAUUACAGUAUUAUUAGUGUGAUUUCUAGCGUUGUGGCCAUCAUUACCCUGUUGCUUAGGUCUAUGAACUUGCAUUUGCAGCUUGCUAUUAUGUGCAUCCUUUGAGGAAGGAUUCUUGUUUUGAA